Molecule: ribosomal RNA, 670 nt
Filed under: Inocybe striata
Lineage: Eukaryota; Fungi; Basidiomycota; Agaricomycetes; Agaricales; Inocybaceae
Description: eukaryotic LSU rRNA
Rfam family: Eukaryotic large subunit ribosomal RNA
Source: RNAcentral
UUGACCUCAAAUCAGGUAGGACUACCCGCUGAACUUAAGCAUAUCAAUAAGCGGAGGAAAAGAAACUAACAAGGAUUCCCCUAGUAACUGCGAGUGAAGCGGGAAGAGCUCAAAUUUAAAAUCUGGCGGUUCUUGACCGUCCGAGUUGUAAUCUAGAGAAGUGUUACCCGUGCUGGACCGUGUACAAGUCUCCUGGAAUGGAGCAUCAUAGAGGGUGAGAAUCCCGUCUUUGACAUGGACUGCCUGCACGUCUUGGUGCGCUCUCGAAGAGUCGAGUUGUUUGGGAAUGCAGCUCAAAAUGGGUGGUAAAUGCCAUCUAAAGCUAAAUAUUGGCGAGAGACCGAUAGCGAACAAGUACCGUGAGGGAAAGAUGAAAAGAACUUUGGAAAGAGAGUUAAACAGUACGUGAAAUUGCUGAAAGGGAAACGCUUGAAGUCAGUCGCGUUGGCUAGAAAUCAGCCUUGCUUUUGCUUGGUGUACUUUCUUGUUGACGGGUCAGCAUCAGUUUCGAUCGCUGGAUAAGGAUUUUGGGAAUGUGGCAUCCUUGGAUGUGUUAUAGCCCAUUGUCGCAUGCAGUGGUGGGGAUUGAGGAACUCAGCACGCCGCAAGGCCGGGUCUCUGACCACGCUCGUGCUUAGGAUGCUGGCAUAAUGGCUUUAAUCGACCCGUC